RNAcentral lists this ribosomal RNA (407 nucleotides) under uncultured bacterium. RNAcentral describes it as "partial 16S ribosomal RNA". It matches the Rfam family "Bacterial small subunit ribosomal RNA", at positions 30 to 526 of the family's 1533-position model. The record is from RNAcentral.
AUUGAACGCUGGCGGCAGGCCUAACACAUGAACGUCGAGCGGAGCGGCGGACGGGUGAGUAAUGCCUAGGAAUCUGCCUGGUAGUGGGGGAUAACGUACGGAAACGGGCGCUAAUACCGCAUACUAUCAGAUGAGCCUAGGUCGGAGUAGCGAGUUGGUGGGGUAAAGGCCUACCAAGGCGACGAUCCGUAACUGGUCUGAGAGGAUGAUCAGUCAAACGGGAACUGAGACACGUUCCAGACUCCUACGGGAGGCAGCAGUGGGGAAUAUUGGACAAUGGGCGAAAGCCUGAUCCAGCCAUGCCGCGUGUAUGAAGAAGGUCUUCGGAUUGUAAAGCACUUUAAGUUGGGAGGCGUUACCAACAGAAUAAGCACCGGCUAACUCCGUGCCAGCAGCCGCGGUAAUAC